UAAGCUUCAGAUUUUGAAAUGUAUCAUAAGUGGACCAGUUGUAGGGCAGCACUCCGUUUGGCAGAUAUUUAGUUAUCAACACGUAUUCACGUACAUUUGUUAUCUGCCAAAGGAGAGUUGCCCUAUAAUUGUUUCUGCUUAAUUUUUUAUAUGAGAAACAAAAGAAUCAUGUGCCUCUUCUUUACGUACAUUUGGGGAUUCCUUAAUUUUCUUUAGUUGUUUAGCUAUAUAUCAUACGAUGAGAAUCUGUGAUGUCCAUGACGGAGAGCGGGCUGAUGAGGGCGGGUCAAGCAGGACUGACAGGCUUCUCGGCUAGAAAGUUUCUGAAGAAGAGAUGCACAUGUUACUUUAAGCAAAUCUCACAUCAGAAUGUGAGAGAAAGUUAAAGAGCUUUAUAAGAUAUGACACAAGUUCACAUGGUACAUUCACAUUUGGAGUUCAAGGUAACGUACCCCGAAGGAAAAAUCCGCGCAAGCCUAGGCCCAAAGCGGAUAAUAUGUGCCAUGGGCUUGAAUGGUGACAAAAUCUUUCAUAAUUUCAGAAGCUAUGCAGUUCGGUUAUUGAGCUUGAAAGUAAUUUUGGCAUGUUAGGUGCCUAGCUGGAAAUCAUUUUGCAAACUACAAAUAUUAAUAAUUCGCAGACAAGUUUGUGUGAAUAACCUAAACCUAAAGUAGUCACACGUUUGUAAUAAAAUGAGUUGGUUCGUCCUGUGGA
Nicotiana tabacum (common tobacco) is the source of this 714-nucleotide non-coding RNA. Lineage: Eukaryota; Viridiplantae; Streptophyta; Magnoliopsida; Solanales; Solanaceae. The record is from RefSeq and is a predicted model, not a curated record.